This 111-nucleotide ribosomal RNA is filed under the name Gaoshiqia sediminis. The record is from RNAcentral. Lineage: Bacteria; Pseudomonadati; Bacteroidota; Bacteroidia; Marinilabiliales; Prolixibacteraceae.
UAAGGUGAUUACAGCGGCGGGGUUCCACCUCUUCCCAUUCCGAACAGAGAAGUUAAGCCCGCCAGCGCCGAUGGUACUGCAGAAAUGUGGGAGAGUAGGUCGUCGCCAUCC